This is a small nucleolar RNA of Eutrema salsugineum, 106 nucleotides long. It matches the Rfam family "Plant small nucleolar RNA R71". From Rfam's summary of the family: R71 is a member of the C/D box family of snoRNAs containing the C (UGAUGA) and D (CUGA) box motifs. Multiple nearly identical copies of this snoRNA have been identified in Arabidopsis, and it is thought to function as a 2'-O-ribose methylation guide for 18S ribosomal RNA. The record is from Rfam. NCBI's taxonomy places the organism in Eukaryota, Viridiplantae, Streptophyta, Magnoliopsida, Brassicales, Brassicaceae.
AAACCAUGGUGAAGGCAGUCUCUCUCAUACUCCUUGAAUCGCUUCCAUGCUUCGUAAAAUGAUUCGACAGGGCCUUGUUGGAAACUUUGGAUAUUGUUUCUCAGCU